CAAGGCACUGAAAAUGCCUAGAUGAGUGUACUAACUCCAUAAACA
RNAcentral lists this transfer RNA (45 nucleotides) under Megaloceros sp. Ari79. RNAcentral describes it as "partial tRNA-Phe". Lineage: Eukaryota; Metazoa; Chordata; Mammalia; Artiodactyla; Cervidae. The record is from RNAcentral.